UACAGAGGGGGCAAGCGUUGUUCGGAAUUACUGGGCGUAAAGGGCGCGUAGGCGGCCCGCUAAGUCGAACGUGAAAUCCCCCGAGCUCAACUCGGGAACUGCGUCCGAUACUGGCGGGCUUGAAUCCGGGAGAGGGAUGUGGAAUUCCAGGUGUAGCAGUGAAAUGCGUAGAUAUCUGGAGGAACACCGGUGGCGAAGGCGGCAUCCUGGACCGGUAUUGACGCUGAGGCGCGAAAGCCAGGGGAGCAAACGGG
RNAcentral lists this ribosomal RNA (254 nucleotides) under uncultured bacterium. Its description in RNAcentral is "partial 16S ribosomal RNA". It matches the Rfam family "Bacterial small subunit ribosomal RNA", at positions 524 to 776 of the family's 1533-position model. The record is from RNAcentral.